This 433-nucleotide ribosomal RNA is filed under the name uncultured Elusimicrobia bacterium. Its description in RNAcentral is "bacterial SSU rRNA". It matches the Rfam family "Bacterial small subunit ribosomal RNA", at positions 346 to 795 of the family's 1533-position model. The record is from RNAcentral. Lineage: Bacteria; Pseudomonadati; Elusimicrobiota; Elusimicrobia.
GGGCUGCAGUGAGGAAUUUUCCACAAUGGACGAAAGUCUGAUGGAGCGACGCCGUGUGUGUGAUGAAGUCCUUCGGGACGUAAAACACUGUCAGGGGGGACGAUUUUGACGGUACCCCCAGAGGAAGGCCCGGCUAACUACGUGCCAGCAGCCGCGGUAAUACGUAGGGGCCAAGCGUUGUCCGGAAUUACUGGGCGUAAAGAGUGUGUAGGUGGCUUUGUAAGUCCGAUGUUAAAUCUCCCGGCUCAACCGGGAACGUGCGUUGGAUACUGCUUAGCUUCGAGAAUAGUAGAGGAAAGCGGAACUUCCGGUGUAGCGGUGAAAUGCGUAGAUAUCGGAAGGAACACCAGUGGCGAAGGCGGCUUUCUGGGCUAUUUCUGACGCUGAGACACGAAAGCCAGGGGAGCAAACGGGAUUAGAUACCCCAGUAGUC